This 430-nucleotide ribosomal RNA is filed under the name Bacillota bacterium. RNAcentral describes it as "Firmicutes bacterium partial 16S ribosomal RNA". It matches the Rfam family "Bacterial small subunit ribosomal RNA", at positions 355 to 776 of the family's 1533-position model. Lineage: Bacteria; Bacillati; Bacillota. The record is from RNAcentral.
UGGGGAAUAUUGGACAAUGGGCGAAAGCCUGAUCCAGCCAUGCCGCGUGUGUGAAGAAGGCCUUUUGGUUGUAAAGCACUUUAAGCGAGGAGGAGGCUACUUGGAUUAAUACUCUAGGAUAGUGGACGUUACUCGCAGAAUAAGCACCGGCUAACUCUGUGCCAGCAGCCGCGGUAAUACAGAGGGUGCGAGCGUUAAUCGGAUUUACUGGGCGUAAAGCGUGCGUAGGCGGCUUUUUAAGUCGGAUGUGAAAUCCCUGAGCUUAACUUAGGAAUUUCAUUCGAUACUGGGAAGCUAGAGUAUGGGAGAGGAUGGUAGAAUUCCAGGUGUAGCGGUGAAAUGCGUAGAGAUCUGGAGGAAUACCGAUGGCGAAGGCAGCCAUCUGGCCUACUACUGACGCUGAGGUACGAAAGCAUGGGGAGCAAACAGG